This 3390-nucleotide long non-coding RNA is filed under the name Olea europaea subsp. europaea. The record is from RNAcentral. Lineage: Eukaryota; Viridiplantae; Streptophyta; Magnoliopsida; Lamiales; Oleaceae.
GUGAAAUAUAUAUUGUAUAAUACCAGAGCAAAAAAAUUUCAAUAUGCAUUCAAUCAAAAAUAUUUUUACAUCAUCAUACCCAUUACAAAAUAUAUUCUAAGCUCAAUGAAACUAAUUUAGAGCAGAGGGCUUGAGAGCUUGUUGGAGCCCUCAGGGUCUAAUUCUAUCUCAUCAUCUUUGAUCUCAACUUUAUUAUCGGGCGUUGCUUCCUCAGACUCACACAACUCAGGAUGACCCGAAGCCUCAAGGAUAGUCUUCAGUUCUUUAGGUUGAACCUCGAGCAAAUUUACCCGAAGGAAGGCUCGGGCCCAUCACAUAGUCGACCUCAACCUCUUAAAUUCCUCAAACAUUUUGAAGUCCUCGAUAGCUUUUCAUGGGCCUCCUCGAGUUACGCCUUGAACUUCUUCUACUUUUGCUUAAGCUUCACGUUUUUAAUUUUAUCUCUUCACACUUGAGCUGGAGUUUGGUGCCCUUCAACUCAACUUUAGCUUCUCAUGCUCCUUCCACAAGGUAUUAUGCUUAGCCUCGAGCUUGGCUAUUCUUUUUAUCCCAAUAUUCCACUGGCUUUGUAAGCUCGACCGUUUUGUUGGAUUUGUCCACCCCCUUAAGGGUAAGGCCUCAAAAAAUGCUGAGAGCCCAAAAAAUAAUGAAAACAUCAUGAGCACACUUCGAGGCUUAAAUAUAGGAAAAAAUUACAAAUCAUAUAAUAGUUAAAGCUCAAGCUUUGUCUUCAAAGUCAUGGUCUCAAGAGUCUUUAAACCAUCAUCGAACUUCACACUGGCCUAUUUUCAACAAUGAUUAGACUAGUAUGCAUUACUGGUUAUCCUUAAACAAGAAAGAAGCUAGAGGGAUGAGAUCUUCCUUAAUGUCCAAGACCUUAGAUGUGGCCCAAGGUACUUUAUACUGAUGAGUACUUCCCUAGGGUGAUGAAGACCCAAUGAACGGGUUUGCAUCCCUGGUGUCUGACAUCAACCCUCUACAAGUAACCUCGAGGUGCUUUCAUGUGGCCUCUUUUUUCAUUUCUUCUGGUUUGGGGCCCUCACUUAGAGAGCUCUAGAUUUCUUCUGAACACCUUAUCGUAGAUGAUACAACCUGUCUUGAAUCACCCCAAUGAACCCGGCAUGUAUCGUGCAUCGAUGAUAGAUGCCAGCUAAGUGUCGGACCCACCACCGUGACUAUGACAUUAUUUUAUGAAAAUUUUGACAGAGUUCCCUCUGAAAUAUGGACUAAAAUCACUUGAUCAAAACUCAAUUUUCUCAAAUCAAUGCAUAUAAUAUAAAACAGGGUAUACCAGUCCCUCAUAAUACCAACUAUUCAAAAUAACGUGUACAAGAAUGAAAUUUACAUUUCUGAACAAGCUAAAAGACUCUAAAAGCCCAACAUAAUCAAAAGAUACCAAAUAUGCAAUUAGCCCAUGAUAUGGAUACAAUUUCUGAUAAAAAUCCAUGUAUCCCAAAAAUUUUAUCUGUUUAAACUACAAAAUAAGUCAUACAACUGAUGACAAUGCGUGGCUCAACACAGGAGAUCAACAGACUCCAAUGCUGCUCAACUCAGCUACUAUCUAAUAAGAAAAAUAGUGAUAAAAUAUAUGAGCUAUUAACUCAGUGAGUAGAUAUUUGCAAAUAAGUAUACCUUUUCCGUUCAUAUAUAUUUUGUAAAAAUUCUUAUUCUCUUAAAAAUUUGGGAAAUUCUAAAAUUUAAUAACUUUUUUUGAAAUUGAAACAUGAUUGCAUUGUAAAAUUCUUUAUUGUAGAUAAGUACCUGUAAAAUAUAAUGAAUAAUAAUAAUCUGAUAUCUAUGAAACAUUAUUGUUGUUUGAUACUAUGAGCUGGAAGCUUUAUUCUAAAAACUGAAUAAACUAAAUUAUAUAAUCUGAAAUCUGAUAAGCUUUAUAAAUACUGAAAAAUAACACUAAAAAGUUAACCUGAAUAACCAUACUCAUGUACCUGUUAAUCUCGAAAUACAUGGCAAGCUUAUUCAAUUCUGAAAUUCUACAAUUCUGAAAUUCUGGUCAUACCCGCGCAGAGCUACCCGAAAGCUAUAAUCUUGUUGUACACUAUAGAAACAUAUUCACAACAGUGUAGAGCGGGUAAAAUCUCCAUAACUAAUUAUACACCGUUGAAACGCAUUUACACCAGUGUAGAGUGGGUAAAAUAACCAUAUAGAGUCAUAAACUAUGAAAAUACAUUCGCAUAAGUGCAGACUAAGAUAAAAUCAUCUGGGUACUUUCUGGCGGUUUUAAAAAUACAAUAGAUGUGCUGAAAUAUUUAAGAUGCACAUAACAUGCUAACUAAAAUGAUUUUACUAAACUAAAUUUAACUUUAAAAACAAUUGAUUAUAAAUCCACUUUAUUCUGAAAAUCAUGCUGUCAAAUCAAUUGUAUGAAAUAAUAAAUUUUCUGAUCUAAUAUAAAUUUAAUAAAUACUAAUUUCCGAAAAAUAAAUUUGUAUCCACUGACCAAGUUGUAGAUUGAUCGGGACUUCAAUCUUCUAGACGCCUCCUCACAUUCAAAUACCAAGUAUGACAUUUUGCACUCGUUCCAAGAAAUCAUAUCUCAUCACUAAGGUGCUUUAAACAUCUUUCCUACCAUUGGAAUGAUAAUUUACUAAUAAGAACUUGGAGUUUUUUAUUUUCAAUAUAAUAUCAUAAUCCCAAUUGGGCUUACUAAUAACAUAUCCACCUUUAUAUAAGUUAUUUCAAUAUUUAAUCCCCAAUAUUCAAUAUUUAAUUUGGUUCUCAUACUAAAAAUCCAAGAAAAUCAAAAGAUUAACAAAAUUGGCCCUGUAUUUCCAGAAUAUAGAAACCUGAUUCCAAUUUUUGAAUAUUGAAAACUAUCAUCAAAACCAUUGACAGAAAUAACACUUUCUGGGCAGAAUUUCAAAAUAGCACCUGUGCAUUACCUUGCUUGAAAAUAGCCUAAAAAUUUCUAAAUAAUAGAGAAAUUAAACCCCAAAUCCUCAAUCAAGUGAUUGAUAUCAUGUAACUACAACAAUUUUAAAAAAUGAAGCUAUAAUUUACAAACCCUUUUCAUAUUCUUUGAUUUCAACAUAAAUCUUCCAAUAAACAUUUCCUUUUGCAAUAAUAUUUUUAAAUACCUCAAAUACAUCUUAAUAACCUUUAAUUAUUGCUAACAUUCAACAUAUAAAAUUGUUCACAAUGUCUAAAAUCAUAUAUCAUCCAUUAAUAAGUAAAUAUUUUGCUUACCUUCAAGAAGAAAUUGGAAAACAAAUAACCCAAACAUGAAAAUCUACCGUCCUCUUUCUUUGAUUCUUCUUUUCCAUCUCUUUUUCUUCCUUUUCUUUCUACCUUUUUCCGCUUCUCUUCUAGUUCCUUCAAGUUGCUGUGCGUGUACGUAUGUGAAAAAUGGAAAUAAUGGCUUGUAGUCCACUU